Molecule: transfer RNA, 73 nt
Filed under: Ornithodoros turicata
Lineage: Eukaryota; Metazoa; Arthropoda; Arachnida; Ixodida; Argasidae
Also listed under: 10 other names
Description: transfer RNA arginine (anticodon CCU)
Rfam family: tRNA
About the family: Transfer RNA (tRNA) molecules are approximately 80 nucleotides in length. Their secondary structure includes four short double-helical elements and three loops (D, anti-codon, and T loops). Further hydrogen bonds mediate the characteristic L-shaped molecular structure. tRNAs have two regions of fundamental functional importance: the anti-codon, which is responsible for specific mRNA codon recognition, and the 3' end, to which the tRNAs corresponding amino acid is attached (by aminoacyl-tRNA synthetases). tRNAs cope with the degeneracy of the genetic code in two manners: having more than one tRNA (with a specific anti-codon) for a particular amino acid; and 'wobble' base-pairing, i.e. permitting non-standard base-pairing at the 3rd anti-codon position.
Source: RNAcentral
GCCCUCGUGGCCUAAUGGAUAAGGCAUCGGUCUCCUAAACCGGGGAUUGCGGGUUCGAAUCCCGCCGAGGGUA